CACGUAGGGGGCGAGCGUUGUCCGGAUUCAUUGGGCGUAAAGCGCGCGUAGGCGGCCUCAUAAGUCCGUUGUGAAAGUCAAAGGCUCAACCUUUGAAAGCCGAUGGAUACUGUGAGGCUAGAGUCCGGAAGAGGCGAGUGGAAUUCCUGGUGUAGCGGUGGAAUGCGCAGAUAUCAGGAGGAACACCAAUAGCGAAGGCAGCUCGCUGGGACGGUACUGACGCUAAGGCGCGAAAGCGUGGGGAGCGAACAGG
Molecule: ribosomal RNA, 253 nt
Filed under: uncultured bacterium
Lineage: Bacteria
Description: partial 16S ribosomal RNA
Rfam family: Bacterial small subunit ribosomal RNA
Source: RNAcentral